This 253-nucleotide ribosomal RNA is filed under the name uncultured bacterium. Its description in RNAcentral is "partial 16S ribosomal RNA". It matches the Rfam family "Bacterial small subunit ribosomal RNA", at positions 524 to 776 of the family's 1533-position model. The record is from RNAcentral.
UACAGAGGUCUCAAGCGUUGUUCGGAAUUACUGGGCGUAAAGCGCACGUAGGCGGCUUUGUAAGUUAGAGGUGAAAGCCCGGAGCUCAACUUCGGAAUUGCCUUUAAGACUGCAUCGCUUGAAUCAUGGAGAGGUCAGUGGAAUUCCGAGUGUAGAGGUGAAAUUCGUAGAUAUUCGGAAGAACACCAGUGGCGAAGGCGACUGACUGGACAUGUAUUGACGCUGAGGUGCGAAAGCGUGGGGAGCAAACAGG